AACGAACGCUGGCGGCAUGCCUAACACAUGCAAGUCGAACGAGACCUUCGGGUCUAGUGGCGCACGGGUGCGUAACGCGUGGGAACCUGCCCUUAGGUUCGGAUAAAUCCCCUGAAGGGGGGCUAAAACCGGAUAAUGGAUUCGGUACAAAGAUUUAUCGGCUUUGGAUGGGCCCGCGUUGGAUUAGCUAGUUGGGAGGGUAAAAGCCUACCAAGGCGACGAUCCAUAGCUGGGCUGAGAGGAUGAUCAGCCACACUGGGACUGAGACACGGCCCAGACUCCUACGGGAGGCAGCAGUGGGGAAUAUUGGACAAUGGGCGAAAGCCUGAUCCAGCAAUGCCGCGUGAGUGAUGAAGGCCUUAGGGUUGUAAAGCUCUUUUACCCGGGAUGAUAAUGACAGUACCGGGAGAAUAAGCUCCGGCUAACUCCGUG
This 432-nucleotide ribosomal RNA is filed under the name uncultured bacterium. Its description in RNAcentral is "partial 16S ribosomal RNA". It matches the Rfam family "Bacterial small subunit ribosomal RNA", at positions 29 to 507 of the family's 1533-position model. The record is from RNAcentral.